AUGGCUCUACUUGCUGCCGCUACCCUGAAUCCCACCACCCACCUUAGCAUUAGAAGCCGUGCAGGACACAACAGUGAGAACCUAUGGCUCCGGUCUGCUGCUUCAUCACAGAAGAGCAAGGGAAGGUUCUGUAACCUCACCGUCAGGGCAGGCACACCGUCAAAGCCAGCAGAGCCCAUUGGGCCUGUGUUCACUAAGCUCAAGCCCUGGCAAAUCCCUAAAAGGGACUGGUUCGACAAGGACUUCCUCUUUGGUGCCUCCACUUCAGCGUACCAGAUUGAAGGUGCUUGGAAUGAAGAUGGCAAGGGGCCAAGCACUUGGGACCACUUCUGCCACACAUAUCCUGAGCGCAUAUCCGACAGGACCAAUGGGGACGUUGCAGCAAACUCCUACCAUCUGUAUGAAGAGGACGUCAAAGCGCUGAAGGACAUGGGCAUGAAAGUGUAUAGGUUCUCCAUCUCUUGGUCAAGAAUACUGCCAAAUGGGACGGGAAAGCCAAACCAGAAAGGCAUUGACUACUACAACAACCUCAUCAACUCGUUGAUACAUCAUGGCAUAGUGCCAUAUGUUACAAUUUGGCACUGGGACACCCCUCAAGCACUGGAAGACAAGUACGGCGGUUUCUUAAAUCGGCAGAUUGUAAAUGAUUACAAACACUUCGCCAAGGUGUGCUUUGAGAGCUUCGGCGACAGGGUGAAGAACUGGUUCACCUUUAACGAGCCACAUACAUAUUGUUGCUUCUCCUAUGGAGAGGGGAUUCAUGCUCCUGGGAGGUGCUCGCCGGGGAUGGAUUGUGCCGUCCCAGAAGGAGACUCGCUCAGAGAGCCAUACACUGCUGGUCACCACAUCCUCCUAGCUCAUGCUGAGGCUGUUGAGCUGUUCAAAGCGCAUUACAACGAGCAUGGGGAUUCCAAAAUAGGGAUGGCCUUUGAUGUAAUGGGCUACGAGCCAUACCAAGACUCCUUCCUCGACGAUCAGGCCCGGGAAAGAUCCAUCGACUACAACCUCGGAUGGUUCCUGGAGCCAGUGGUUCGGGGUGACUACCCCUUCUCCAUGAGAUCACUGAUCGGAGAUCGUCUACCCAUGUUCACUAAGGAGGAGCAAGAGAAGCUAGCGUCCUCAUGUGACAUCAUGGGGCUCAACUAUUACACCUCCAGAUUCUCCAAGCAUGUUGACAUUUCAUCAGACUUUACGCCAAAGCUGAACACCGACGACGCUUACGCCAGUUCAGAAACUAAAGGGAGUGACGGGAAUGACAUCGGUCCUAUUACUGGGACUUAUUGGAUUUACAUGUACCCAAAAGGCCUAACGGACCUCCUUCUGAUCAUGAAGGAGAAAUACGGAAACCCACCCAUCUUCAUCACUGAGAACGGAAUCGCUGAUGUGGACAGCGACCCAACCAUGACAGAUCCUUUGGAUGACUGGAAGAGGCUAGACUACCUCCAGCGCCACAUCUCAGCCGUCAAGGACGCAAUAGACCAGGGCGCGGACGUGCGGGGCCACUUCACGUGGGGUCUGAUCGACAACUUCGAAUGGAGCCUCGGCUACAGCUCACGGUUCGGCCUCGUCUACAUCGACAAGAAGGACGGCAACAAGCGCAAGCUCAAGAAGUCGGCCAAGUGGUUCGCCAAGUUCAACUCCGUCCCAAAAGCCUUGCUUAAGACCACCAAUACCAAUAACAAGCCAGCCGUGACUGCUUCCGUUUCCCUAUGA
RNAcentral lists this ribosomal RNA (1713 nucleotides) under Triticum aestivum (bread wheat). RNAcentral's name for it is "partial small subunit ribosomal RNA". Lineage: Eukaryota; Viridiplantae; Streptophyta; Magnoliopsida; Poales; Poaceae. The record is from RNAcentral.